Molecule: long non-coding RNA, 480 nt
Organism: Syzygium oleosum
Lineage: Eukaryota; Viridiplantae; Streptophyta; Magnoliopsida; Myrtales; Myrtaceae
Exons: 2
Source: RefSeq, a predicted model, not a curated record
UUCCUCUCCCGCUGCCGAAGCAAAUUGUUCCUUGCCCAAUCCUCGCUUGCUCCACGCGAGCGCAUUGCCCACCCUCGAUCACCGCUCUCUCUUCAGCGAAGGUGCUCUCUCCCCUCUCAUCCACUGUAAUUCGUUUUUAGUUGAUUUUAAACCUGCCGAAUGAGCCAUCACGGAAACGCCACGGUCCGUCACUCCUCUUUUCACCACACCGCUCCUGCCCCACCUCUUCCUGUGAAAUUGAGGUCUUGGAAUUUGACGUUUGUCGAUUCACGUUCGAUUGAUGCUAGAUGCAAUCCUCUUUUUGUUGCUUGAUAAGGAAGUACUGAGUAUACGGACAAUGCUGUUUACUCUUAAUAUUGGAGCGAGGAAAUUGAGACUUCUUCAAUUGGAUUGAUUCCCCCAUUGGUGAUGAGCACUUCCGCCAAAUCAUUUUAGAGCUCAUGUGAAGAACGAGAUCGAUUGAGGUUGACCUUCAACAAA